This 1483-nucleotide long non-coding RNA is filed under the name Cricetulus griseus (Chinese hamster). RNAcentral describes it as "lncRNA (ENSCGRG00015036382.1)". Lineage: Eukaryota; Metazoa; Chordata; Mammalia; Rodentia; Cricetidae. The record is from RNAcentral.
UUUUAAUUUCCUAGAAAAUACUGGGGGUUAUAGCUCAGUAUUGAAGUUUAUCAUGGUUGUCUCUCUAGCACUGUAAUAAAAGUUAUCAAUUGAUUAAUUACAUAUGAAAAUUAAGGAUUUCCAGUCAACAUCGUAGAAGGAACUAAUUUGUGUAGGUGCUCACUUAUUACUCCAAAUGCAUAGAUACCACAAUUUUCUUUAAAAUAGAAGGCCACUUUUCAAAGGAAGUUAGAAUUUACACUGAAGAAUAAGUACAUAUUGAAAACUAGAUACAAAUGAGCCUCAGAGGAUAGGAGCUAGUGUUGGCAGAGAAAGAGAUAGAAACUGAAACAGUCCCUUAUGCUUGUAGCGGCUGCCUCUAGGGAAACAUCUGGAGAAAACAAGGUAUUAACUAUAAUUGCCUCUGGAAAAUGGGGUUACAGUAGCACAGGAAACCCUACUGGAAAAAGGCCCUGAACUGUAAGGAUCAGAAGUAUUCCUUCCUGGCUUCUGUUUCCUAAUCGGCGUAUACAGCUUUGCUUUCAAGGCGUCCCUGAGCCCCUUUCUGAAUUGUCAUAUCGAACCUUCUUUCUUUUGUUUUUGCUCUGCUUUAGUCUUCCAUCCACAUAGAUUUGCAGGACAAUUGGUCUAGACUAGGUACAGCCAAGCAGCUGUGCUUCAGGUUUAGCCUCUGCUGGAUUGGGCAUCGCCAUUUGGAUCAGAUUCACAUUUGUUCCAGGUGGUUCCUUCUGAGUCACAUGCUGAAAGUAGCUGCCCGGACAUGUUAUCCAUGGUGGACUGCCGAAGCACAGAGGCCAGAUGAAGUCACACAGGGUUUUAGCCCUUGCAGCAAUCCUGCAUCGGCCUACUAAGUGCAAGGAUUACAAGUGUGAGCCUCCACACCUGACAUAAUUCUUGUUUUCCAACAAUUGAAAUCAGUUCCAAGUUUGAGGCUUCCUGACCAGAGCAACAUGAAGUCCUCCUGCACAGAGAGCUUCUGCAGUCUAGGAGUGUUGUGUUUGGGGAAAGUGUUUACAGGUGUUCUCACUUUGUAAUUAUUAGUUAAGCAGUACAUUAUGAUUGGGGAAAUUGUAAGGGGUUCAUAUGUUUAAAGGUUUUAAAAAUAAAAUGGGAAAACCAAAAGAAAUCCAAAAAUGAACCAACUCUUAAGAGAAUGGGGAGAGGUUAACAUAAAUCCAUCACCGGGUCAGCUGUGAGGAGAAUUUGCAGCCGUUAUGGGACUGUGAAGACUGGUCUGACCAAAAUUAGAAUGUCACAGUAAAGAAGUAGUGAUGGAAGUGUGGGUGUAUUAGCAUCUGUAACAGGAUAAGCAAUUUAGAAGCACUCAACACUUUUUAUGAGAAGCAAAUAAUAACUAAAAUUGAAAAAUCAACAAUUAGUUCUCUAUGCAUGUUGUUUUGAUAUUUUUAUUGUUAACAUAGUAGAACUAUGUACUUGUAACAGGUAUUGCUCUGGUUUAAACAUAUAUUAAAUUUUAAUAAAU